UAUUUCAUUUCGUCCACUGCACUAAUCCGCACACAAUUACAAGUUUUCAUAUUCCUACAAUCAUUGUCGUGAAUUUUAAUAGUCUCAAGGUCAUAAGGUAAUCCUGCUUUUGUCAUGGAGUGACACAUGAAAUGAGUCUUGUCAAUAUUAAGAGAUAAUAAACUAAAAUCCAGCCAUUUUUUAACCUCAACAAGAGCUUGUUCGGCCUUUUGAAACACUUCAUCCCACGUGCCACCCCCAACCAUGAGAGCUGUAUCAUCAGCGUAACAGACAACUUGCACACUUGUUAUUACCGAAAAUAUACUAUCCAUAUAGAGAGUGAACAAUAUUGGACCAAGGACUGUGCCCUGUGGCACACCACACCUCACUGGAAUUUUACUACUGUGAAUCUCGCCUAUCUUAACUUGCUGCUUCUAAGCGUUCCAUCAAGAUGUGGUGCGGCACAGUAUCAAAGGCCUUAGCCAGGUCCAGGAAGAUUGUCAUACAUUUUGUAUUGGUGUUAAAAGCAUUUAUUAUGUCGUCAGCUACCCUGACUAAAGCAUCCUCAGUUCCCAUUCCCGUCUUAAAACCAUAUUGAUUUGCAUUAAGGUAAACUCCAGACCCAAAGAUAGUAUUUACCAGAUGUAAAAGAGGCACUAUCA
Long non-coding RNA from Anthonomus grandis grandis, 641 nucleotides. RefSeq lists it as uncharacterized. The transcript is spliced from 3 exons. Lineage: Eukaryota; Metazoa; Arthropoda; Insecta; Coleoptera; Curculionidae. The record is from RefSeq and is a predicted model, not a curated record.